UUAGCUUGUUUCAGGCAUAUGUAAAUCCGUUUAUGCGACGCUGCGGGAUCAAAACAAGAUCAAGUGAUCAAAAGAUUGACUGAUUCUAUUGUCAGCUCAUUUCAGGCAUAGGCAAACCAGUUCAGUGCGGCGCAACGGUGGUUUGUGAUUGAGACUGACGCGAUUCUAUCAUCGGAUGCUGAGGGCUUCAGCCAGGAAUCCUCCCUGGUUUUCUCCGCGUGUUGGUGGUGGUUUGAACACUGUGUGCAGUGAGACGCACGGAUUUUGUGUGAGUGAUAAGAGUUUACUCCAAAGUGUGUGUGGUACUAUUCCUUGUUCUUUAGCCCUCAGCCAAAACGACUUCUGAGUGUAAUGUUUGAUUAUAUUUGAUUUGUAGUGACUGAUUUUUGAGUGACUGUACUUCUGACAACAUAACAACCCGUUUUUAUUGGCAGAUGUUGCGGUGUGUCUUGCCUG
This is a long non-coding RNA of Xyrauchen texanus (razorback sucker), 456 nucleotides long. RefSeq lists it as uncharacterized. NCBI's taxonomy places the organism in Eukaryota, Metazoa, Chordata, Actinopteri, Cypriniformes, Catostomidae. The record is from RefSeq and is a predicted model, not a curated record. The transcript has 3 exons.